Molecule: ribosomal RNA, 253 nt
Filed under: uncultured bacterium
Lineage: Bacteria
Description: partial 16S ribosomal RNA
Rfam family: Bacterial small subunit ribosomal RNA
Source: RNAcentral
UACGGAGGGUGCAAGCGUUAUCCGGAUUCACUGGGUUUAAAGGGUGCGUAGGUGGGUCUGUAAGUCAGUGGUGAAAUCUCCGUGCUUAACAUGGAAACUGCCAUUGAUACUAUAGGUCUUGAAUUUUCUGGAGGUAAGCGGAAUAUGUCAUGUAGCGGUGAAAUGCUUAGAUAUGACAUAGAACACCAAUUGCGAAGGCAGCUUGCUACAGGGAUAUUGACACUGAGGCACGAAAGCGUGGGGAGCAAACAGG